This 492-nucleotide ribosomal RNA is filed under the name uncultured bacterium. RNAcentral's name for it is "partial 16S ribosomal RNA". It matches the Rfam family "Bacterial small subunit ribosomal RNA", at positions 29 to 507 of the family's 1533-position model. The record is from RNAcentral.
AGUGAACGCUGGCGGUAUGCCUAACACAUGCAAGUCGAACGGCAGCACAAUAAGAGCUUGCUCUUACGGGUGGCGAGUGGCGGACGGGUGAGGAAUACAUCGGAAUCUACUUUUUCUUGGGGGAUAACGUAGGGAAACUUACGCUAAUACCGCAUACGACCUACGGGUGAAAGCAGUGGUUCUUCAGACCUUGCGCGAUUGAAUGAGCCGAUGUCGGAUUAGCUAGUUGGCUGGGUAAAGGCCCACCAAGGCGACGAUCCGUAGCUGGUCUGAGAGGAUGAUCAGCCACACUGGAACUGAGACACGGUCCAGACUCCUACGGGAGGCAGCAGUGGGGAAUAUUGGACAAUGGGCGAAAGCCUGAUCCAGCAAUACCGCGUGGGUGAAGAAGGCCUUCGGGUUGUAAAGCCCUUUUAUUGGGAAAGAAAAGCAGCAGGUUAAUCCCCCGCUGUUCUGACGGUACCUAAAGAAUAAGCAACGGCUAACUUCGUG